GAUGAACGCUGGCGGCGUGCCUAAUACAUGCCAGUCGAGCGAACGGACGAGAAGCUUGCUUCUCUGAUGUUAGCGGCGGAAGGGUGAGUAACACGUGGAUAACCUACCUAUAAGACUGGGAUAACUUCGGGAAACCGGAGCUAAUACCGGAUAAUAUUUUGAACCGCAUGGUUCAAAAGUGAAAGACGGUCUUGCUGUCACUUAUAGAUGGAUCCGCGCUGCAUUAGCUAGUUGGUAAGGUAACGGCUUACCAAGGCAACGAUGCAUAGCCGACCUGAGAGGGUGAUCGGCCACACUGGAACUGAGACACGGUCCAGACUCCUACGGGAGGCAGCAGUAGGGAAUCUGCCGCAAUGGUCGAAAGCCUGACGGAGCAACGCCGCGUGAGUGAUGAAGGUCUUCGGAUCGUAAAACUCUGUUAUUAGUGAAGAACAUAUGUGUAAGUAACUGUGCACAUCUUGACGGUACCUAAUCAGAAAGCCACGGCUAACUACGUG
Molecule: ribosomal RNA, 497 nt
Filed under: uncultured bacterium
Lineage: Bacteria
Description: partial 16S ribosomal RNA
Rfam family: Bacterial small subunit ribosomal RNA
Source: RNAcentral